GAGUUGAGACGUGAAUACGAGACGCUAAGGCGUCGAAGUAGUGUAUGUCAUACUUCCAAGAAAAGCUUGCACUGUCAUAAGUAAAAAAUGCCUGUACCAUAACCGACACAGGUGGGUAGGUAGAGUAUACUAAGGGGCGCGAGAUAACUCUCUCUAAGGAACUCGGCAAAAUAACUCCGUAACUU
RNAcentral lists this ribosomal RNA (185 nucleotides) under Lessardia elongata. RNAcentral's name for it is "partial Bacterial large subunit ribosomal RNA". It matches the Rfam family "Bacterial large subunit ribosomal RNA", at positions 1553 to 1736 of the family's 2925-position model. The record is from RNAcentral. Lineage: Eukaryota; Dinophyceae; Peridiniales; Podolampadaceae.